UGGGGAAUUUUGCACAAUGGGCGCAAGCCUGAUGCAGCGACGCCGCGUGAGGGAUGAAGGCCUUCGGGUUGUAAACCUUUUUCGCUCAUGGUCAAGCCGCAGCUUUGGGUUGUGGUGAGGGUAGUGGGUAAAGAAGCGCCGGCUAACUACGUGCCAGCAGCCGCGGUAAUACGUAGGGCGCGAGCGUUGUCCGGAAUUAUUGGGCGUAAAGGGCUUGUAGGCGGUUGGCCGCGUCUGCCGUGAAAUCCUCUGGCUUAACUGGGGGCGUGCGGUGGGUACGGGUUGACUUGAGUGCGGUAGGGGAGACUGGAAUUCCUGGUGUAGCGGUGAAAUGCGCAGAGAUAUGGAGGAACACCAGUGGCGAAGGCGACUUUCUGGUCUGUAACUGACGCUGAUGUGCGAAAGCGUGGGGAUCAAACAGG
Molecule: ribosomal RNA, 422 nt
Filed under: Bacteroidota bacterium
Lineage: Bacteria; Pseudomonadati; Bacteroidota
Description: Bacteroidetes bacterium partial 16S ribosomal RNA
Rfam family: Bacterial small subunit ribosomal RNA
Source: RNAcentral